RNAcentral lists this ribosomal RNA (913 nucleotides) under uncultured Alistipes sp. Its description in RNAcentral is "bacterial SSU rRNA". It matches the Rfam family "Bacterial small subunit ribosomal RNA", at positions 43 to 948 of the family's 1533-position model. The record is from RNAcentral. Lineage: Bacteria; Pseudomonadati; Bacteroidota; Bacteroidia; Bacteroidales; Rikenellaceae.
CAGGCCUAACACAUGCAAGUCGAGGGGCAGCGGGGAAGUAGCUUGCUACUUUUGCCGGCGACCGGCGCACGGGUGCGUAACGCGUAUGUAACCUACCUUAAACAGGGGCAUAACACUGAGAAAUUGGUACUAAUUCCCCAUAACACUUGAGAGGGCAUCCUUUUGAGUUGAAAGUUCCGGCGGUUUAAGAUGGACAUGCGUUGUAUUAGUUAGUUGGCGAGGUAACGGCUCACCAAGUCGACGAUGGGUAGGGGUUCUGAGAGGAAGGUCCCCCACACUGGUACUGAGACAGGGACCAGACUCCUACGGGAGGCAGCAGUGAGGAAUAUUGGUCAAUGGUCGGAAGACUGAACCAGCCAAGUCGCGUGCAGGAAGACUGCCCUAUGGGUUGUAAACUGCUUUUGUAUGGGAAUAGAGAUAUGUACGAGUACAUAGAGGAAUGUACCAUACGAAUAAGGGUCGGCUAACUCCGUGCCAGCAGCCGCGGUAAUACGGAGGACCCGAGCGUUAUCCGGAUUUAUUGGGUUUAAAGGGUGCGUAGGCGGGCGAUUAAGUCAGAGGUGAAAGCCCGGGGCUCAACUCCGGAACUGCCUUUGAUACUGGUUGUCUUGAGUCAUGACGAGGAUGGCGGAAUGUGAUGUGUAGCGGUGAAAUGCAUAGAUAUGUCACAGAACACCGAUUGCGAAGGCAGCUGUCUAGAGAUGAACUGACGCUGAGGCACGAAAGUAUGGGGAUCAAACAGGAUUAGAUACCCUGGUAGUCCAUACAGUAAACGAUGAGUGCUCGUUAUUUGUGUUAUAGGCAUGAGUAACCAAGAGAAAUCGAUAAGCACUCCACCUGGGGAGUACGCCGGCAACGGUGAAACUCAAAGGAAUUGACGGGGGCCCGCACAAGCGGAGGAACAUGUGGUUUA